AGUUCAUUGGGUGACUGAAAGCAAGUAUUGGUCUCUUAAACCAACUUAUAGUAAAUAGCAAAUACUCCCAAU
This 72-nucleotide transfer RNA is filed under the name Agrilinae sp. 2 ACP-2013. RNAcentral describes it as "tRNA-Lys". The record is from RNAcentral. Lineage: Eukaryota; Metazoa; Arthropoda; Insecta; Coleoptera; Buprestidae.